GGAGAGGAACCAAGGCGUCAAGACUUUGUCAGGAGUUCAUUCGGAUAUCAAUAACCUGAUUUGCACGAGUUUUUCAGAUUAAAAAAAUGCCCUUUUCGAGCUGGAACCAAAACUGAAGUUCCUGCUGCUAAGGACAACGCCUUUCCCAGCUCCGGAUUUCAGUGGACAAUUCAAGCAAGCCGACAAGAAGUGAAAAUGCUGGAUUACAUUUUUCAAGAUCUUUCUGUAGCUCAUUAGGUUAAUAACAUUAGUGUCAUACGAGCUGCUAAGUAAGUAAUCAAAAGCUACUUUCUCGUCACAACAUCAAUGCAGUGCUAGGCGUCUAGAACAGGAGAAUGACUGAACUGAUCAGCAGAGAGAAAUUGUCAGGAUAUACAAAAAAAUUCUAACAAACUAGUAUUAAGAAAUAGUGAAGUCUGUCAGAGAAAUUAAAUUUGCUUGUAUUACGACCCGUGCAAUAUUCAAAGAAACCUUAUUUUUUUUCUUCUUGACAACCGCAUAACCAAUUCAGAUUUCGAUAAUUUUAUGUCACAAUUUCCCAAUUGUUCGAAAAUUUUCAUUUGAUUUCGGUCAAAUUCUAGACCACGUUCACCGUAAUUUUUUUUUAAAAAGUCCUUGUUCACCUUAAAAUUUACAUAAAAAAAGCUACUCGCUUGAAUUCCCAACAGGCAUGGAACAAAAUUAAAUAUUCAGUAUUUGGUUGCCAAAAUGAAGCGCGUGUGUGGCUGGAUUGUCUUAAAAGUUCAAUCGUACACAAUUUUUGACUAAUUUUUAUUUAAUUAUUCUAAUUUGCAGUUUUUACAAGAUUGUUCCAACUUUUGCGAAAUACAGUUAGCACUGCAGAUUGAUUUCAUGAACCACGACCAGGAACCUGUUGAAACAAAAUUUAUCGGCCGAGUCAAUAUUUGGUGGUCAAAAUUAAGCAAGAGGCUACUGAAUUGUCUAGAGACCAACACACUCAGAGUCAUAAACAUGUGUUAACCAAUUUUGGUUUAAUUUUUCCAUCUCGCAAUUUAACAAGAUUGCUCCAAAUGGGCCAAAUGUUCUCACCAAGUGUGACAAAAGUCUACAUAAAAUAUAGUGCAAGCUAUGGGUAUUGAUUUCACAGGGCGCUGAAUUGUCUUGAAACUAUUUUACGCAGUCGUAAACAAAUUUGAAACAUUUUUGUGUUAAUUCGUCGCAUGUAUUCAAAAGUAGUUUAAUUUUUUUGAAGAAGACAUUUUUACAUGGUUUCCUUCAGUAUUGCACGGGUCCGAGUUUGAAGAAAUGUGAAUUCGAUCUUUGAGCGAAGGCUUUUCGUACUUGUAAUUCGAUUAUUUUGUUUGCCGAAAACUUACAAAUUAGCAAAAACCUCAUUUCUUAGCUCGACUACUUUGCCUUCAACUUAUCGUUGAAGCCAUACAACCACUAGUUCAUUUUUCAAUGAUUCUCAGAAAUAGCAAGCAAGGUUUCUUAUUCGGACUUAUAAUUUGAUAAUUUUGUUUGCAAAAACUUGACUAUUAAUCAGAAAUUAUUUCUCAGGCCAAGCCUGACUGUUUUGCGUACUAUUUAUCGCUCAGUGACUAAAGAACCUAAACACUUAGAUUAUUUUUCAGACUUUGCCAGUCUUACUAUUCAUAUUUUAAAUAGUAAAUUUUCGCUUUUGUGAUUUAAUACUGUUUAUUUCUUAGAAAUAAAGUUAAUUAACACAUACAGCAUUUGUAGUACAAUAGUUGUCUUUAAUAGUUGAAAUAAACAAAGACUUACAAUCAAUAAAUGCGUCUUGCUUUAUUUACAAGAGAAAGGAACAAAAAAAAUCUGCGCUUUUGAAAGGGGCCUGGAAACUAGUCGGAAUGUAGGCUAUCUCUUUUACUAUUUUUUGACUAUGUAAGGUUGCCGACGCCGGGAAAAAUUUCUGCAAAAUUGAAUGGGGUCUAGUAUAAAAUCGCAAUAAACACCAACUUUUGAUGGGAGAAAUCUGCUGCUACCGCAGAGACUUUUCCCGCCAAAAGACUUUGUUUAUUUUUGACUCAAUA
This 2015-nucleotide long non-coding RNA is filed under the name Orbicella faveolata. RNAcentral describes it as "uncharacterized LOC110060375". The record is from RNAcentral. Lineage: Eukaryota; Metazoa; Cnidaria; Anthozoa; Scleractinia; Merulinidae.